RNAcentral lists this unclassified non-coding RNA (138 nucleotides) under uncultured fungus. Its description in RNAcentral is "sequence contains ITS1". The record is from RNAcentral. Lineage: Eukaryota; Fungi.
CAGGAGUCCGGCUCUAAGCCGAUACCCUCCACCAUUGUGCGUAACAGCAAUUUGCCUUGGCGGGCGGAGUCCGCCCGCCAGGUGAACCUAUAUAAACACUUAUAAAUAGUGCGUCAGAGUAUAUAUAUCAAUAAGUCA